Long non-coding RNA from Cervus hanglu yarkandensis (Yarkand deer), 7507 nucleotides. NCBI's taxonomy places the organism in Eukaryota, Metazoa, Chordata, Mammalia, Artiodactyla, Cervidae. The record is from Ensembl.
AUGAAAUCCUCUAGGUUGCUCAUGCUUUUCACAGAAUACCUUCUUUGUCUUUAUUGGGUUUAUGGAUACUACAGACAACAGAGAAAACUUGUUGAAGAGAUUGGCUGGUCCUAUACAGGAGCAUUGAAUCAAAAAAAUUGGGGAAAGAAAUAUCCAACAUGUAAUAGCCCCAAACAGUCUCCUAUCAAUAUUGAUGAAGAUCUUACACAAGUAAAUGUGAAUCUUAAGAAACUUAAAUUUCAGGAUUGGGAUAAAACAUCUUUGGAAAACACAUUCAUUCAUAACACUGGGAAAACAGUGGAAAUUAAUCUCACUAAUGACUACCGUCUCAGUGGAGGGGUUUCAGAAACAGUGUUCAAAGCAAGCAAGAUAGCUUUUCACUGGGGAAAAUGCAAUAUGUCAUCUGAUGGAUCAGAACAUAGUUUAGAAGGGCAAAAAUUUCCACUAGAGAUGCAGAUCUACUGCUUUGAUGCAGACCGAUUUUCAAGUUUUGAAGAAGCAAUUAAAGGAAAAGGGAAGUUAAGAGCUUUAUCCAUUUUAUUUGAGGUUGGAAUAGAAGAAAAUUUGGACUACAAAGCAAUUAUAGAUGGAGUGGAGAGGGUUAGUCGUUUUGGGAAACAGGCUGCGCUGGAUCCAUUCACAUUGCUAAACCUUCUGCCAAACUCAACGGACAAGUAUUACACUUACAAUGGCUCCCUGACAUCGCCUCCCUGCACAGACACCGUUGACUGGAUUAUUUUUAAAGAUACAGUUAGCAUUUCUGAAAGCCAGUUGGCUGUUUUCUGUGAAGUUCUUACAAUGCAACAGUCUGGUUAUGUCAUGUUGAUGGACUACUUACAAAAUAAUUUUCGAGAACAACAGUACAAGUUCUCCAGGCAGGUGUUUUCCUCAUAUACUGGAAAGGAAGAGAUUCAUGAAGCAGUUUGUAGUUCAGAACCAGAAAAUGUUCAAGCUGACCCAGAGAAUUAUACUAGCCUUCUUGUUACAUGGGAGAGACCUCGAGUAGUUUAUGAUACCAUGAUCGAGAAGUUUGCCGUUCUGUACCAGCAGUUGGAGGGAGAAGACCAAACCAAGCAUGAGUUUUUGACAGAUGGCUAUCAAGAUUUGGGUGCUAUUCUUAAUAAUUUACUACCCAAUAUGAGUUAUGUUCUUCAAAUAGUAGCCAUAUGCACUAAUGGCUUAUAUGGAAAAUACAGUGACCAGCUGAUUGUGGACAUGCCUUCUGAUGACCCUGAACUUGACCUCUUUCCCGAAUUAAUUGGAACUGAAGAAAUAAUCAAGGAAGAAGAAGAGGGAAAGGACAUGGAAGGAGACACUGUUGUGAAUCCUGGUAGAGACGGUGCCACAAACCAGAUCAGGAGAAAGGAACCCCAGAUUUCUACCACAACAAAUUACAACCGAGUGGGGACCAAAUACAACGAGGCCAAGACUAACCGCUCCCCAGCAAGAGGAAGCGGGUUCUCUGGAAAGAGUGAUAUUCCCAACACAUCUUUAGAUUCCACCUCCCAGCCAGUCACUGAAUUAGACCCAGAAAAAGACGUUCUUUCGACUUCACGGACUGUGACCCAGCCUCCCCCUCUCACUCUGGCAGGCACUUCAGCCUCUUCAAGUGACGCCUCUAAAACCAUUCUCCGAUUUCCACAGAUGAACUUGUCCGGGACGGUGGAAUAUUCAGAUACAGUGUCCACGACGGAAUCGCAAGAGGUAUCUACUGAUAUCAGUGAGGAAGAGAGUUUAUUGACCAGUUUCAAGCUCGAUCCAGGAGCCGAUGAUUCUUCCGGUUCCAGUCCCGCAACUUCCGCUGUGCCAUUCGUCUCCGAGAACACAUCCCCUGGCGAUGUAUUAUUUCCUUCAGAAAACCCAGAGGCCGUCACAUACGAUGUCUUUAUCCCAGAAUCUGCGAGAAAUGCUUCAGAAGAUUCCGCCUCCUCAGGUUCAGAAGAAUCUCUCAAGGAUCCUUCCGUUGAUGGAAAUAUGUGGUUUCCUAGUACAACAGACGUGACGACGAUGCCCGAUGUCGGGUCAGGUAGAGAGAGCUUUCUCCAGACUAAUUACACCGACGUGGAUAGUGACGAAUCUGAGAAGACAACAGAAUCCUCUCCUCCAGGCCCACUGCCGUCACAGGGCCCCUCGGUCUCAGAUGUGCGAAUGCCACAGUAUUCUACCUUUGCAUACUUCCCCACUGAGGUGACACCUCACGCUUUUACUCCGUCCUCCGGACAACACCAUUCGGUCCCCACCGUCAACGUGGUACACGCGCAGACAACUCAACCAGUGUACAAUGGUGAGGCACCUCUCCAACCUUCCUACAGUAGUGAAGUCUUUCCUCUAGUCACCCCCUUGUUGCUUGACAACCAGACCCUCAACACUACCCCUGCUGCUUCAAGUAGUGAUUGGGCCUUGCAUGCUACACCUGUAUUUCCCAGUGUCGGUGUGUCCUUCGAAUCCAUCCUGUCUUCCUCUGAUGGUGCGCCUUUGCUCCCAUUUUCCUCCGCUUCCUCCAGUAGUGAAUUGCUUCACCGUGUGUAUACGAUCUCUCAGAUCCUUCCGCAAAUUACUGCAGCUCUUGAGAGCGAUCAGGGGUCCCUGCAUGUUUCUCUGCCGGUGGCUGGGGGUGAUUUGCUAUUAGAGCCCAGCCUUGCUCCGUAUUCUGAUGCCAUGUCGCAUCAGAUCACUACGCGUGCUGCUUCGGAGACCUUGGAAUUUGGUGCUAGCAAGCCUGCUGUCCUUUAUCAAACGCUUAUGUUUUCUCCAGCUGAAGCAUCCAGCAGUGAUGUCCUGAUGCAUGCACGUUCUUCAGGGCCUGAACCUUAUGCCUUAACUAAUGAGGAGGGCUCCCAACACCUCUUCAGGGUUUCUGACAGUUCUGCGGUACCUGGGCGUGAUUCUGUUCAGGGUUCUUUAUCUAGCAGCCCUAGUCACCACCUACCGAUGCCCGAGUCUCCCUUAGUAACCCCAAGCGCAUCGUUGCUGCAGCCCACUCAGGGCGUCUCAGGUGAUGGGGAGUGGUCUGGAGCCUCCUCUGAUAGUGAAUUUUUUGUGCCUGACACAGAUGGUCUGACAGCCCUUAAUAUGUCUUCACCCGUUUCUGUAGCUGAGUUUACAUAUCCAACCUCUAUGUCUGGUGACAAUAACAAGCUACUUUCUAAAAGUGACACAAUACACGGAGAGGAGACAGAACGGCACAUUUCUUCUUUCAGUGACCUGGUUUACCCCUCUGAAAGCACAGUCAUGCCUGACCUGUAUGAUCAUGUAAAUACAUUGAAUGCCUCUUUACAAGAAUCCUCUGCUUCCACUUCUAGCCCAGAGGGCAUCCUCCCAGAGCUUCUUGUUUUAACUGCCACUAAGGUUUAUGAUCAUGAGAUUAGUCAAAUUCCAGAAAGUAACUUUCCGGUUCAGUCUUCACACGCUGUAUUUCAAGCAUUUGGUGACACUUCGCUUAAAUCUGCACACUCAGAGCCAGCAUCCUCUGACCCUACUUCUAGUGAAAUGUUAUCUCCUUCAACUCAGCUCUUAGUUUAUGAGCCCUCAGCUUCUUUUAGUACUGAAGUAUUGCUGCAACCUUCCUUUCAGGCUUCUGGUAUUGACUUGUUGCUUAAAACUGAUCUGCCAGCUAUGCCUAGUGACCCAAUAGUGGUUGAAACCCCCAAGGUUGAGCACAUUAGUUCUACAGUAUCACAUCUCGUGGCAUCCAAUGCCGCUUCAAGGGAAAAUACGCUGCACUCUACAUCUGUACCAAUCUCUGAUGUAUCACCUACUCCUAAUACGCACGCUGCUUCACUUCAAGCUUUAACCAUUUCUUAUGCAAGUGAGAAAUAUUCUGAACCAGUUUUGCAUAAAAGCGAAAGUUCCCACCAAACAGUACCUUCAUUGUCCAAUAAUGAUGAGUUGUUCCAAACUGCCAAUUUGGAGCUUAACCAGGUCUUUCCUCCAGAAGGAAGGCAUGCAUUUGCAACUCCUGUUUUAUCAGUUGUACCACCAGAUACGCUUAUAAGUAAGCUUGUUUAUUCUGAUGAAGUCUUCACCUCCACCAAGGGCCCAGUCACCGAUGAGGUAUUGGCUGGUAUUCCUACAGUUGUUUCUGAUCCAGUUGUAACUGCUGAUCCUUCUGUCCCUUUAGGAAAUGUGUAUGUUUCCAUUUCAGCCAUUUCUCCAAACAAGGAUGGUUCUGUAACCACAACCGAGUUGCUGUUUCCUUCUAGAACAACUUCUGAGCCAAUUCAAAGUGCCCGAUCUGAUGCCAGUUUGGUGGGUGGUGGUGACGAUGGUGAUAUUGAUGAUUACGGUGAUGAUUAUUAUGAUGACAGAGAUAAAGAUGGCUUAUCUAUCAAUAGGUGUAUGUCAUGCUUCUCCUAUAGAGAAUCACAGGAAAAGGUAAUGAAUGACUCAGACACCCAGCAGAACAGUUCUGUGGAUCAGAAUAACCCAAUCUCAUAUGCACUAUCUGAGAAUUCUGAAGAAGGAAAUAAAAUCACAGGUGUUAUAUCAGACAAUCAGACUGAUAUGGACAGAAGUCCUGAUAAAUCACCACCAACAAAUGUGCCAGCCCAGAAGCACAAUGAUGGAAAACAGGAAAAUGAUGUUCAGACUAACAAUGCCCUGCUUCCUUUCAGCCCAGAAUCUAAAGCUUGGGCAGUUCUUACAAGUGAUGAAGAGAGUGGAUCAGGGCAAGGUGCCUCAGAUAGCCUUAAUGAUAACGAGACUUCCACAGAUUUCAGUUUUCCUGAUAUUAAUGAAAAAGAUGGUGAUGGGGUACUGGAAACAGGUGACUCAGAAAUAACUCCUGGAUCCCCACAGUCCUCAACACCGACUAUUACUAGCGGGCAUUCAGAAGUGUUCAACAUUUCAGAGGCAGAGGCCAGUAAUAGUAGCCAUGAGUCUCGUAUUGGUCUAGCUGAGGGGCUGGAAUCCGAGAAGAAGGCGGUUAUACCCCUUGUGAUCGUGUCGGCCCUGACUUUUAUCUGUCUAGUGGUUCUUGUGGGUAUUCUCAUCUACUGGAGGAAAUGUUUCCAGACCGCACAUUUUUAUUUAGAGGACAGUACGUCCCCUCGAGUAAUAUCCACACCUCCAACACCUAUCUUUCCAAUUUCAGAUGAUGUUGGAUCAAUUCCAAUAAAGCACUUUCCAAAGCAUGUUGCAGACUUACAUGCAAGUAGUGGGUUUACUGAAGAAUUUGAGGAGGUACAGAGCUGUACUGUUGAUUUAGGUAUCACAGCAGACAGCUCCAAUCACCCCGACAAUAAGCACAAGAACCGAUACAUAAAUAUUGUUGCCUAUGAUCAUAGUAGAGUUAAACUCGCACAACUUGCUGAGAAGGAUGGCAAACUGACUGAUUAUAUCAAUGCCAAUUAUGUUGAUGGCUACAACAGACCAAAAGCUUACAUUGCUGCCCAAGGCCCACUGAAAUCCACCGCCGAAGACUUCUGGAGAAUGAUAUGGGAGCAUAAUGUGGAAGUUAUUGUCAUGAUAACGAACCUUGUGGAGAAAGGAAGGAGAAAGUGUGACCAGUACUGGCCUGUGGAUGGCAGUGAAGAGUAUGGGAACUUUCUGGUCACUCAAAAGAGUAUUCAAGUGCUUGCUUAUUAUACUGUGAGGAAUUUUACUCUAAGAAACACAAAGAUCAAAAAGGGUUCCCAAAAAGGAAGACCCAGUGGGCGCGUGGUUACCCAGUACCACUACACUCAGUGGCCUGACAUGGGGGUGCCCGAGUACUCCCUGCCAGUGCUAACCUUUGUGAGAAAGGCCUCGCAUGCCAAGCGCCACGCAGUAGGGCCUGUUGUUGUCCACUGCAGUGCUGGAGUUGGAAGAACGGGCACGUACAUCGUGCUAGACAGUAUGCUGCAGCAAAUUCAACAUGAAGGAACCGUCAACGUAUUUGGCUUUUUAAAACACAUUCGUUCACAAAGAAAUUACUUGGUGCAAACUGAGGAACAGUAUGUCUUCAUUCAUGAUGCACUGGUCGAGGCCAUACUCAGUAAAGAAACUGAGGUCCCGGACAGCCACAUCCAUGCCUAUGUUAACGGGCUCCUCAUUCCUGGACCAACGGGCAAAACAAAGCUAGAGAAGCAAUUCAAGGUGAGUUCUCUUCAAAGUCCCUCUCUUGGGUGUCACCAUGGGUUGGCGUGUUCCCGCAUCUCCUCAUUUGAGUGGACAAGGCCACGAGGACAGGCUGGGUGCUCUGUUGGCCCAGUGCUCUUGAGUCAAUCAAAUAUACAGCAGAGUGACUAUUCUACAGCCCUAAAGCAAUGCAACAGAGAAAAGAACAGAACGUCUUCCAUCAUCCCUGUGGAAAGAUCCAGGGUUGGCAUUUCAUCCCUGAGUGGAGAAGGUGCAGACUACAUCAAUGCCUCCUACAUCAUGGGUUAUUAUCAGAGCAAUGAAUUCAUCAUCACCCAGCAUCCCCUUCUCCACACCAUCAAGGAUUUCUGGAGGAUGAUAUGGGACCAUAAUGCCCAGCUGGUUGUUAUGCUUCCAGAUGGUCAAAACAUGGCAGAAGAUGAAUUUGUUUACUGGCCAAAUAAAGAUGAGCCUAUAAAUUGUGAGAGUUUUAAGGUCACUCUUAUGGCCGAGGAACACAAAUGUCUGUCUAAUGAGGAGAAACUUAUAAUGCAAGAUUUUAUCCUAGAAGCUACACAGGAUGACUAUGUACUUGAAGUGCGGCACUUUCAGUGCCCCAAAUGGCCAAAUCCAGACAGCCCCAUUAGUAAAACUUUUGAACUUAUAAGUAUUAUCAAAGAAGAAGCCGCCACCAGGGAUGGGCCCAUGAUUGUUCAUGAUGAGCACGGAGGAGUGACAGCUGGAACCUUCUGUGCUCUGACGACCCUGAUGCACCAACUCGAAAAAGAAAAUUCCGUGGAUGUGUACCAGGUAGCCAAGAUGAUCAAUUUGAUGAGGCCGGGAGUCUUUGCCGACAUUGAGCAGUAUCAGUUUCUCUACAAAGCAGUCCUCAGCCUUGUGAGCACAAGGCAGGAAGAGAACCCGUCCACCUCUCUGGACAGUAACGGCGCGGCAUUGGCUGAUGGAAAUAUAGCCGAGAGCUUAGAGUCUUUAGUUUGACGUGGAAAGGGGUGAGAAGAGCCCACAUGUACUGCUUCCCUCUUUCUAAAAUUAGACUGGAAAAUCAGUUCCGUUCUGUUAUCUGUUUACUUCACAUCACCUGACAGUUACUACCAUGACAUAGGAUUCUGCUGCCAAAUUUACAUCAUUAACAAUGUGUGCCUUUUUUGCAAAACUUCUUGUAAUUCACUUAUUGUGUUUAAACUAAAAUGAUUGAAAUUUACAGUAUUUCUAAGAAUGGAAUUGUGGUAUCUUUUUUUCAUAUUGAUUUUAACAGAAAAUUUCAAUUUACAGAUACUAGGAAUUCCCAACUAGAAUUCCCAAACAGAAAACAUGUUUGUUUUUAGUGUCAAAUUUUUAGCUGUAUUUGUAGCAAUCAUCAAGUUUGCUAGAAAUAUAACUUUUAAUAUAGUAUACUGUAAAUAAAACACCCUGUUCCCUACGAUAUUCA